This 571-nucleotide ribosomal RNA is filed under the name uncultured bacterium. RNAcentral describes it as "partial 16S ribosomal RNA". It matches the Rfam family "Bacterial small subunit ribosomal RNA", at positions 355 to 918 of the family's 1533-position model. The record is from RNAcentral.
UGGGGAAUUUUGGACAAUGGGCGAAAGCCUGAUCCAGCAAUGCCGCGUGUGUGAAGAAGGCCUUCGGGUUGUAAAGCACUUUUGUCCGGAAAGAAAUCCUUGGCUCUAAUACAGUCGGGGGAUGACGGUACCGGAAGAAUAAGCACCGGCUAACUACGUGCCAGCAGCCGCGGUAAUACGUAGGGUGCAAGCGUUAAUCGGAAUUACUGGGCGUAAAGCGUGCGCAGGCGGUUUGCUAAGACCGAUGUGAAAUCCCCGGGCUCAACCUGGGAACUGCAUUGGUGACUGGCAGGCUAGAGUAUGGCAGAGGGGGGUAGAAUUCCACGUGUAGCAGUGAAAUGCGUAGAGAUGUGGAGGAAUACCGAUGGCGAAGGCAGCCCCCUGGGCCAAUACUGACGCUCAUGCACGAAAGCGUGGGGAGCAAACAGGAUUAGAUACCCUGGUAGUCCACGCCCUAAACGAUGUCAACUAGUUGUUGGGGACUUCAUUUCCUUAGUAACGUAGCUAACGCGUGAAGUUGACCGCCUGGGGAGUACGGUCGCAAGAUUAAAACUUAAAUGAAUUGACGGGG